This 480-nucleotide ribosomal RNA is filed under the name uncultured bacterium. RNAcentral's name for it is "partial 16S ribosomal RNA". It matches the Rfam family "Bacterial small subunit ribosomal RNA", at positions 28 to 507 of the family's 1533-position model. The record is from RNAcentral.
GACGAACGCUGGCGGCGUGCUUAACACAUGCAAGUCGAACGAGAAUUCUUCUUCUGGUUUCUUCGGAAUGAUCACGAAAACGUAACACAUCGAUCGGGUGAGUAACACUUGAGAAACAUGCCUUUCACCAAGGGCUAGUCUUGGAAAACCGGUCUUACUACCUUAUGAGGCCUAACACUCGCCUGCGAGUUUGGUUGAAGUCUUAUCGUAGUUAGAUGGUCUCGAGUCUGAUGAGCUAGUUGGCGGGAUAAAAGCCUACCAAGGCAACGAUCAGUAGCCGGAGUGAGAGGUUGAACGGCGACACUGGGACUGGGCCACGGUCCAGACUGCUACGAGAGGCAGCAGUGAGGGAUUUAGCACAAUGGAGGAGAUUCAGAUGCAGCGACGCCGCGUGAGUGAUGUUGGUCUUAGAAUUGGAAAUCACUAUCCUUAGUGCAGAUAAUGACAGUAACUGAAGAAGAAGCACUGGCUAAAUACGUG